RNAcentral lists this long non-coding RNA (425 nucleotides) under Mus spicilegus (steppe mouse). RNAcentral's name for it is "lncRNA (ENSMSIG00000008013.1)". Lineage: Eukaryota; Metazoa; Chordata; Mammalia; Rodentia; Muridae. The record is from RNAcentral.
GAAAUGUAAAUGAGAAAAAUACCUAAUUAAAAAAAAGAUAUAUAAAGGAAAGAUUAAGAAAGAGUGAUCAUACUAAAUGCAGGUUUUAUCAUUUCACAGACAGACAUGAAAUAAAGAAGCAAUUCUAUGGCAUGUUGCGUCCAACUCGACCAGCAAGGAAAAUGCAACCACCGUUCCUUCUUAAAGCAGGGGCCAAAGAACAGAAAUGGAAACUGGGACUUGUCCACUCUGGAAUUGGAAAGAUUCUUGAGAAUACCAUUCUGAGUGAGGUGUGCACAUGUUUGUAGACCUGUGGGUGUCAGAAGACAUUUCCGAGGAGUUGGUCUUCUUCCAGCAUGGCUUCCCAGGAUCAACGAUAGACCGCCAUGCACAGCACCAGGUAUUCCCCCCCCCCCCGCCCACUGAACUAUCCCAGCAGUUAUAAA